UAAAAACCCCGACUUCGGAAGGGGUGUAUUUAUUAGAUACAAAACCAAUGCCCUUCGGGGCUCUUUGGUGAUCCAUGAUAACUAUACGAAUCGCACGGCCUUGCGCCGGCGAUGGUUCAUUCAAAUUCCUUCCCUAUCAACUUUCGAUGUUUGGGUAUUGGCCAAACAUGGUUGCAACGGGUAACGGAGGGUUAGGGCUCGACCCCGGAGAAGGAGCCUGAGAAACGGCUACUACAUCCAAGGAAGGCAGCAGGCGCGCAAAUUACCCAAUCCCGACUCGGGGAGGUAGUGACAGUAAAUACUGAUACAGGGCCCUUUCGGGCCUUGUAAUUGGAAUGAGUACAAUUUAAAUCCCUUAACGAGGAACAAUUGGAGGGCAAGUCUGGUGCCAGCAGCCGCGGUAAUUCCAGCUCCAAUAGCGUAUAUUAAAGUUGUUGUGGUUAAAAAGCUCGUAGUUGAACCUUGGGCCUGGCUGGCCGGUCCGCCUCACCGCGUGCACUGGUCCGGCCGGGCCUUUCCCUCUGUGGAACCCCAUACCCUUCACUGGGCGUGGCGGGGAAACAGGACAUUUACUUU
This 576-nucleotide ribosomal RNA is filed under the name uncultured eukaryote. RNAcentral's name for it is "SSU rRNA". It matches the Rfam family "Eukaryotic small subunit ribosomal RNA", at positions 174 to 758 of the family's 1831-position model. The record is from RNAcentral.